AGGUAGGUGUCUUCAGCGGGGUGCUAGCUCCCUUACAGAAGACUCUUCUUUAAUAGCUAUGGUUGUUCUCUCAUAGAUCUCAUAGACUCUCUUGAGAACUAAGAAGAAUGGGGAGAAAGAGGAGAAAAAGAAUUAGAAUUUUUGAAAUAAUUUUUCUCUAAAUUUUUUUUUAUUUUUCUCUUCCACAUAGGAUCUAAAAUUAGUCCCUACAAAUAAGAGGGAGGACUAGAGUUUCUUGGGAGAGGGG
This 247-nucleotide long non-coding RNA is filed under the name Elaeis guineensis (African oil palm). Its description in RNAcentral is "long non-coding RNA (EGUI_LNC004745)". Lineage: Eukaryota; Viridiplantae; Streptophyta; Magnoliopsida; Arecales; Arecaceae. The record is from RNAcentral.